UUGUUCUUUGGGAUCGCCCAUCACUUAAUGGGAUCCCGCAUUAGUCACUGGGAUCGCUCAUCAAUUAAUGGAUCCCCCAUUGUUCUUCGGGAUCACCCAUCACUUAAUGGGAUCACCCGUUGACCAUUGGGAUCACCCAUCGGUCUUUGGGGUCGCCCAUCAACGGGAUCCCCUAUUAAUCACUGGGAUUGCUCAUCAAUUAAUGGGAUAAUUAAUGGGAUCUCCCAUAAAUCACUGGGAUCACCCAUUGACCAUUGGGAUCGCCCAUCGGUCUUUGGGAUCGCCCAUCAAUGGGAUCCCUUAUUAAUCACUGGGAUCAGCCAUCAAUUAAUGGGAUCCCCCAUUGACCAUUGGGAUCGCCCAUCGGUCUUUGGGAUCGCCCAUCAAUGGGAUCCCCUAUUAAUCAAUAGGAUCGCAUCAGUCUUUGGGAUUGCUCAUCAAUGGGAUCCCCUAUUAAUCACUGGGAUUGCUCAUCAAUUAAUGGGAUAAUUAAUGGGAUCCCCCAUUAAUCACUGGGAUCACCCAUUGACCAUUGGGAUCACCCAUCAUUCUUUGGGAUCGCUCGUCAGUGGGAUCCCCUAUUAAUCACUGGGAUCACCCAUUGACCAUUGGGAUCACCCAUCGGUCUUUGGGAUCAGCCAUCCAUUAAUGGGGUCCCCUAUUAAUCACUGGGAUCAGUCAUCAAUUAAUGGGAUCCCCCAUUGUUCUUUGGGAUCGCCCAUCAAUGGGAUCCCCUAUUAAUCACUGGGAUCAGCCCUCAAUUAAUGGGAUCCCCUAUCGUUCUUUGGGAUCGCCCAUCAAUGGGAUCCCCUAUUAAUCACUGGGAUCAGCCAUCAAUUAAUGAGCCCCCCCCACCCCAUCGCUAAUUGCGACCGACCGCCCAUCUUUGGGAUCAGCCAUGGACUCCUGGGAUCCCCUAUUAACCUCUGGGGUCCGCCGCCGAUCAUUGGGGCCACCCAUUGCUCUUUGGGGUCACCCGUUGUUCUUUGGGAUCCCCCACUGAUCUUUGGGAUUUCCGCCCCCCCCCCCUUUUGGGGUCUCCCGUUGCCCCCCUCCCUGUAGAUACUGUACAGCCCCUUUGUAGACGUCGGGAUUUUUUCUAUGCACUUUUGGGGACGGAUUUUUUGGGGGGGUUUUGGGGGGAGGGGGUUUUUAUGGUUUCGGUCGGUUUGGGGUUUUGGGGGUUUUUUUUGUUUUUUAUUUAAGGUGGGGGCGGAACCGCCCCAAAUAAAGAGGAACUUUGGA
RNAcentral lists this long non-coding RNA (1245 nucleotides) under Gallus gallus (chicken). The record is from RNAcentral. Lineage: Eukaryota; Metazoa; Chordata; Aves; Galliformes; Phasianidae.